Molecule: ribosomal RNA, 301 nt
Filed under: uncultured bacterium
Lineage: Bacteria
Description: partial 16S ribosomal RNA
Rfam family: Bacterial small subunit ribosomal RNA
Source: RNAcentral
CAGCCGCCGCGGGAAUACGGAGGGUGCAAGCGUUAAUCGGAAUUACUGGGCGUAAAGCGCACGCAGGCGGUCUGACAAGUCAGAUGUGAAAUCCCCGGGCUUAACCUGGGAACUGCAUUUGAAACUGUCAGGCUGGAGUCUUGUAGAGGGGGGUGGAAUUCCAGGUGUAGCGGUGAAAUGCGUAGAGAUCUGGAGGAAUACCGGUGGCGAAGGCGGCCCCCUGGACAAAGACUGACGCUCAGGUGCGAAAGCGUGGGGAGCAAACAGGAUUAGAUACCCGCGUAGUCCCUGUCUCUUAUAC